RNAcentral lists this transfer RNA (18 nucleotides) under Monocarpus sphaerocarpus. Its description in RNAcentral is "partial tRNA-Lys". The record is from RNAcentral. Lineage: Eukaryota; Viridiplantae; Streptophyta; Marchantiopsida; Sphaerocarpales; Monocarpaceae.
GUUCGAGCCCCGGGCAAC